RNAcentral lists this ribosomal RNA (397 nucleotides) under uncultured Methanosaeta sp. Its description in RNAcentral is "bacterial SSU rRNA". It matches the Rfam family "Archaeal small subunit ribosomal RNA", at positions 946 to 1338 of the family's 1478-position model. The record is from RNAcentral. Lineage: Archaea; Methanobacteriati; Methanobacteriota; Methanomicrobia; Methanotrichales; Methanotrichaceae.
UAUGAAGGUCAGGCUGAAGACCUUACCCCGAUUUAGCUGAGAGGUGGUGCAUGGCCGUCGUCAGUUCGUACUGUGAAGCAUCCUGUUAAGUCAGGCAACGAGCGAGACCCACGUCCACAGUUGCCAGCAUACCCCUCCGGGGUGAUGGGUACACUGUGGAGACCGCCGCUGCUAAAGCGGAGGAAGGAGUGGGCAACGGUAGGUCAGUAUGCCCCGAAUCUCCCGGGCUACACGCGGGCUACAAUGGUUGGUACGAAUGGGCAUCUACCCCGAAAGGGGAAGGAAAUCUCUUAAAGCCAAUCGUAGUUCGGAUUGAGGGCUGCAACUCGCCCUCAUGAAGCUGGAAUCCGUAGUAAUCGCGUUUCAACAGAACGCGGUGAAUACGUCCCUGCUCCUU